Molecule: small nucleolar RNA, 82 nt
Organism: Seriola dumerili (greater amberjack)
Lineage: Eukaryota; Metazoa; Chordata; Actinopteri; Carangiformes; Carangidae
Source: Ensembl
UUGACAUAAUGAUGAUUGCAUAGUUCAGCAGAUUAAACAGUGAAGAAGAACUAUUGUCUUUCGCUCCUAGCUGAUGUGUCAG